GGCAGGCCUAACACAUGCAAGUCGAACGGUAACAGGAAACAGCUUGCUGUUUCGCUGACGAGUGGCGGACGGGUGAGUAAUGUCUGGGAAACUGCCUGAUGGAGGGGGAUAACUACUGGAAACGGUAGCUAAUACCGCAUAACGUCGCAAGACCAAAGAGGGGGACCUUAGGGCCUCUUGCCAUCGGAUGUGCCCAGAUGGGAUUAGCUAGUAGGUGGGGUAAAGGCUCACCUAGGCGACGAUCCCUAGCUGGUCUGAGAGGAUGACCAGCCACACUGGAACUGAGACACGGUCCAGACUCCUACGGGAGGCAGCAGUGGGGAAUAUUGCACAAUGGGCGCAAGCCUGAUGCAGCCAUGCCGCGUGUAUGAAGAAGGCCUUCGGGUUGUAAAGUACUUUCAGCGGGGAGGAAGGGAGUAAAGUUAAUACCUUUGCUCAUUGACGUUACCCGCAGAAGAAGCACCGGCUAACUCCGUGCCAGCAGCCGCGGUAAUACGGAGGGUGCAAGCGUUAAUCGGAAUUACUGGGCGUAAAGCGCACGCAGGCGGUUUGUUAAGUCAGAUGUGAAAUCCCCGGGCUCAACCUGGGAACUGCAUCUGAUACUGGCAAGCUUGAGUCUCCGUAGAGGGGGGUAGAAUUCCAGGUGUAGCGGUGAAAUGCGUAGAGAUCUGGAGGAAUACCGGUGGCGAAGGCGGCCCCCUGGACGAAGACUGACGCUCAGGCGCGAAAGCGUGGGGAGCAAACAGGAUUAGAUACCCUGGUAGUCCACGCCGUAAACGAUGUCGACUUGGAGGUUGUGCCCUUGAGGCGUGGCUUCCGGAGCUAACGCGUUAAGUCGACCGCCUGGGGAGUACGGCCGCAAGGUUAAAACUCAAAUGAAUUGACGGGGGCCCGCACAAGCGGUGGAGCAUGUGGUUUAAUUCGAUGCAACGCGAAGAACCUUACCUGGUCUUGACAUCCACGGAAGUUUUCAGAGAUGAGAAUGUGCCUUCGGGAACCGUGAGACAGGUGCUGCAUGGCUGUCGUCAGCUCGUGUUGUGAAAUGUUGGGUUAAGUCCCGCAACGAGCGCAACCCUUAUCCUUUGUUGCCAGCGGUCCGGCCGGGAACUCAAAGGAGACUGCCAGUGAUAAACUGGAGGAAGGUGGGGAUGACGUCAAGUCAUCAUGGCCCUUACGACCAGGGCUACACACGUGCUACAAUGGCGCAUACAAAGAGAAGCGACCUCGCGAGAGCAAGCGGACCUCAUAAAGUGCGUCGUAGUCCGGAUUGGAGUCUGCAACUCGACUCCAUGAAGUCGGAAUCGCUAGUAAUCGUGGAUCAGAAUGCCACGGUGAAUACGUUCCCGGGCCUUGUACACACCGCCCGCCACACCAUGGGAGUGGGUUGCAAAAGAAGUAGGUAGCUUAACCUUCGGGAGGGCGCUUACCACUUUGUGAUUCAUGACUGGGGUGAA
RNAcentral lists this ribosomal RNA (1454 nucleotides) under uncultured organism. Its description in RNAcentral is "16S ribosomal RNA". It matches the Rfam family "Bacterial small subunit ribosomal RNA". The record is from RNAcentral.